UCAUCCCUCUGUUACCCCCUGGGGGUGAAAAACACCCGAUUAACCCCAAAACUGUUUUAAUUAUUUUUUCCUAAACUAUGAAAGUGACGAAUUUCAAAUUUCGUACAAAUAUUAAUAAGACUAAAAGCUAUGUGCUAAAAAAAUAUUAACCCCCUAACCAUUUAAAUUCUUGUAAAAAAAACAAAAAUGAAAAAAGAAUCAUCCUGUAUCUCAAGUUUGGCUCACGGUACACACACCAUUUUUUUUUUAAAUGUACCAAUUUAUAUUCUAUAUUAUAUAAAAGUUUCAUGGACCUACUCCAGAAGGAACAUUGCGAAAUUAAAAUAAACGUACUAUUUCGUAGCCACUAAUCAUUAUACUCGUAUCAUGCUUAAUACGCAACGUCUCGGACCCGAAACCAAGAUAAUUUUAAAAAACCGGCCAAGAGCAUGUCGGGCCACGCUCAGUGUAGGGUUCCGUAGUUACUCUUCCGUCACAAUAAGCUAAACUGGAGCUUUAAGUAUAGUAAAUUGUUAACCAAGGGAUGAAACGGUACCUUUCACGCGAGUUAAACAAAUAGGCAAAUUUGCAUAAUCAGUACCUAAUUAAAGUAUGUCUUUUUACUAUGAAGGGGAAACUUUUUGCGAUAACUCAAAAACAGCUAAACUGAUCAUGUCCGCUAUAGUUUUCAUUUAAUGUCUUUCUUAAGCUCUACUUCCACGAUUUUUUUCAUUUUUUUUUGGACCUAUGGUUCAAAAGUUAGAGGGGGGGACACAUUUUUUUUUCUUUCGGAGCGAUUAUCUCCGAAUAUAUUAACUUUAUCAAAAAAUGUUUGUUGAAGACCCCUAUUAGUUUUGAAAUACCUUUCCAACGAUACUCCACACUGUAGGAUUGAAGCAAAAAACAAAAAUUCACCCCCACUUUACGUAAAGGGGAGGUACCCUAAAAAAAAAAAAUUAGAUUUUAUUGUACGACUUUGUCGGCUUUAUUGAUUUACAUAUCCAUGCCAAAUUUCAGCUUUCUAGCACUAACGACCACGGAGCAAAGCCUCGGACAGACAGACAGACAGGCAGACGGACAUGGCGAAACUAUAAGGGUUCCUAGUUGACUACGGAACCCUAAAAAUGUUUUUAUAAAUACAAAUGAGUUUGAUUCAUACUUCUUUAUCCCCACCUUUUUCAAAUCGGGCACGAGCAGCGCCAGCGGUCCGAUCGCAAGCCAUUGUUUAUUAAUAAUGCAAGGCUCUUAGUGGGAGUUCAAUGAAUAGUACGCACCAAAGAGCCAAUACAUAUUAAUUUCGCAAUGUUCCUUCUGGAGUAGGUCCAUGAAACUUUUGUAUCAUGUAGAAUAUAAACUGGUUCAUUUUUGAAAAAAAAAAAUGGUGUGGUACCAUGAGCCAAACUUGAUAUACAGGUUGAUUCUUUUUUUAUUUUUGUUUUUUUUACAAGAGUUUAAAUGGUUAGGGGGUUAAUAUUUUUUUAGCACAUAGAUCAAUCAUAGAUCUUAUUAAUAUUUGUACAAAAUUUGAAAUUCGUCACUUUCAUAGUUUAGGAAAAAAUAAUUAAAACAGUUUUGGGGUUAGUCGGGUGUUUUUCACCCCCAGGGGGUAACAGAGGGAUGAAACUUUGUGCAGAGUAUAACCUCCCCAAAAGGAAUCGUUUGAUUACAGUUUCGGCCCAAAAUCGCUGGGGCAAUUUUUCCUAGGCUAUCCUGCUACAAUUGGAAAAUCAAUAUAUUUAAAUUUUUCAUUGCAAUAAUUUUCAUAUAAUGUCAAUUGUGCUGCGUCACGCUCUCCCCAAAUAAUCUUAUUACAUAAGUACUAUAUUACUUGUAAUAUUAUUAUUUCUAAUUAAAUUUAAAUUACAAACUAAUUCUAACGGAUGAUGGUCCGACCAGUACACGUCAUAAUGUAUUUUUAUACUCCGUAUUAGUUUCCGUGCCGCUUCAGAUACUACACAGUGAUCCAGCCAGCUUUUAGUACCAUUAAUAUCACUAACAUAGGUGUAUGUAUCCGAGGCCACUCCUAGAAUGUCUAUGUCCGCACAUUGCCAUCUAACAUCCGCACAAAAGUCUAACAAGUCCUUACCGAAUCGUCUGCCCGGGUGAGCGUUGAAAUCCCCUAAUAUGAAGACGCAGUCUACCUGGCACUCCUCCACUAUUGCCGCCAUUUCCCCUAGGCAUUCCGUAAAUUCGGUAAGAGUCUCCGCAGAAUCGACGGGCAUGUACACAGAGAACACCAAGAGCGAACGAUCCGAUAACACUAUCUUUACAGCAGCGAGUCGCGCACUUUUACAAUGCACAAUCGAAACCGAUGUAAAUAAACAUUUCCGCCACAAUAACGCCACACCGUGCACCGCCGUACGGCCUACCGCGUAAAAUCCCAGCUCCAGUAUCGACCGCCGAUGCUACACCCUUUCGUAAAAAUAUUGUCACCGAAAUUUAAAUGCGACUUUCCUCACUCCAGUGAGUGAGACAAGCUUUCGUCAUAAUGAUGAUGCCUUUCAUUCAUGAAUGUAAAUAAAUGUGGUUAACUUUACUUGAUGUUUAAUUUUAUUAACCUUUAAUAAUGAACUCACUACUGAGGUGAAAAGUUGCGUGUCACACGAGAGCAGUUAUUUUACAUCUCGUGUUUUUAACUCCCUCGCUACGCUCAAGAUUCUAACUUAGAAUCACUCGCUUCGUGAUGCAAUUAUAGAAUCUUUCGCUUACUCAAAAUCAACACUCGCAAGAAAAACCAACUUUCCUGUCUUGUUGCACAAAUAACUAUGUACAGUACAUAUGGUGCUACUUUACCGCACUAGUGCGAAAAUUAGCGUAUUACGUUACUGUGUCGAACAUUUAAAGGCCCAUAUGUACUGUAAAACGUUGUACGAUACAUGUGCAAAUAGGUAAUUCGCAACUCGUGCCGAUUUAAAACACUCCCUUCGGUCGUGUUUUAAUUUAUCGCCACUCGUUUCGAAUUUCCUAUUUUCGCACUAGUAUCGUAAUGUACUAUUACAGUACAUACGGUGCUACUAUAGUGUUACGCACUAGUGUGUAAAUUAGCACAUUAUGUAACUAAGUAUGUCGAAAAUUUAAAGGGUCAUAUGUACUGUAAAACGUUGUACGACACAUGUGCGAAUAGGUAAUUCGCAACUCUUGUCGAUUUAAAAGACUCCCUUCGGUCGUGUUUCAAUUUAUCGCCACUAAUGUAUCGUAAAUAACUAUUAUACAAUCGUGAUAUAAUAAAUAAAUAUUAUAGGACAUUAUUACACAAAUUGACUAAGUCCCACAGUAAGCUCAAUAAGGCUUGUGUUGAGGGUAAUUGGUUAGUCUUAUUUGCAGGCAAUAACGGACCAGCGUUGGACCAAAAAUGUUACGUCAUGGAAAGGGCCACUAGGGAAACGGGGUAUAGGAAAACCUGUUACUAGAUGGGAAGACGAAAUAAAAAAUAUAGCUGGUCAAAACUGGAUGCGAAUAGCUCAAGAUAGAGAUGAGUGGAAAACUCUGGAGGAGGCCUUCACCUGUGAAGACGGGGUUCUUGCUACAUAUUAAAAUUCAUUUUGAAAUAGUUUUAGAGCUGCCAUUGGGAAGCUAUAAGUAAUUAAGUUUGCUUAUAGUUUUUUGAUGUUGGUUCUAAAAUUAUUUUAACUUAACUCUAAACAACAAUGUUAAAAUGUUAAAAUUUCGCAAGAAAUAAAAGGCUAUUUUAUUUUAUUUAUUUAUUAUUUAUUUGCAGGUUCAUACAUUUGCCAUUUAAUGCAAGUAGCUAAUGUAUGAACUCGCAAUAAACACUAAUCAAUGUAUAAACAGACCCCAAUGUCAGCCUCACAUACCUGAAUGGGCUGUGUGCCACACUUUCCCAUGCUGACCUUACAUGAAGUUGAAUUGAACAUAGGUACAGUCAGCUGCAAAAAGUAUGUAUCGAAAGAAUUGUACUUGGUACUACACUCUUAUUACGCUGCGGGCUUAGCAUGGUCUUAGUUAUCACGCGAUAUGGUGACAAUCUUGUUGUUAAAAUGACAGUUUUCUUCGAUUUUAUCGUUCACACUACGGUUGCAGACGAUAAUAGGAGUUAUCCACAUUUGACAGCGAUAGAUGACAAUCGACAAUUUGCAUAACAUGGUCGUCGGAUAAUUUGACACAUUAUCCCAUUUUGGCAGUUCAAUAUAGUUAAUUUUAUCUACGUGCUUCUUAGGUCACGACAAGCGUUGUCGUGGAUGCAAAGCUCAUGAAAAAACCUAUGUUAAGGUAUAAAUUAUCACUCGCAACUGCUGCAGAGGAAAAAGAAAGAAGAAGGAUUCAGCGACGAUCUUUGAGGGACGCUGCAAACCCCUUUGAUAUGCCGGACGAAGAGUUCCGUCAUAUAUACAGAGUACGAAAGGAGUUAGUGUUAUAUAUUUGUGAAGAACUCAACGCCGACCUCCAGCCUCACAAGGGUGAUGGAUUGCCAUCUCACCUUAAGGUAAAGCUAUAAUAUUGCAGUGUUGCUCAUAUAGUACCAAAAGUUUGUAUGUUAAGAUACCGCACAAUCACACAAAAUUAGCUGAUACAAAUAUUUGGGUGAAAUUGUUGUUUAUAACAUAACAGAGGUGCUACAUUAUACCUUAAAAUUUAAAUAUUUCUUAAGCGAAAAAAUUUACUUAAAUAAUUAAGCUGUGUACAACUACUUAAAUAAGAUUCUAACAGCAUUACAUCUGCUGGCUGAUGGCAAUUAUCAACACGGGACUGGUCAGGAUCAUGGUUUAUCUAUUGGUCAGACGACUGUAAGCCACAGUAUCUCGAACAAUUUGUAGAACAGAAGGUAUGUUCAUUGGACCACUGAACUACUAGGCAUCAAAAACUGUGAGAGUAUACUAGGGCUAUCUUAGUAGUUUUUACUUUUUUGAAUAAGCAUCAGUGUUGAUGUAUUGUGUAAUGAGAUAGGUAUUGUUUGAUAGUUAUGUUCAGGUAGUUAGUUACAUUGGAUACAUAAUCUGGAAUUGCAAUACUAGCUAGGUUUGACUAAGGUUAAGUUCUAAAACGUGCCAUCUAAAAUAUGCUCCUUUUUACAGACUUAAAGACCAAUGGAUAAUAGUUUUUCCUGGAACUGAUCGGUCCCGACGAUCAGUUGCCUCAGGAUUUGAGGAUGCAUAUGGUCUGCCAAAUAUCUUGGGUGCAGUAGACUGCACUCAAGUGAAAAUAUUUCCCACCUGUGCCACACGGAGUGCAAUAUCUGAAUCGGAAAGGCGUUCACGCUCUUAAUGUACAGCUAAUUGCAGAUGUCAACUGUAAGAUCUUGGCAGUAAACACGAGGUUUCCUGGCCGUGUGCACGACUCUUUCAUAUUUAACAAUUCGUCCAUUUAGGAUGAAUUAAGAAGAUUGUACAAUGGCCACAUUGGGGAGUAUUUCCUUCUGGGUAAGCAGAAAAUUGUGUAUCUGUACCUAGUGUAAAUUUAUUCGAUGGGGAGACGUGACGUACGCGUUUGCGUUAACUGUCAUUUUGUAUGGAAUUUUGAGUUUCCAAAACAUCCCGCUUGGCGCGCUGUUUCUAAAUCCCUUAGCACCACUUGCACCAUUUCACUAACUCGGGGUUAACUGGUUAACCCUGGAGUUACCAUGUUACCAGUACAAUUUCACAUUGGGUUAACGGUUUAACCGGUUAACCCCGGGUUAUUGGAAUGGGGCAAGUGCAUGUUAGUAAAUGUACUAAGAUCACGACCACAGAAUAAAUAGUUCAUGACUAAGUUAAUAUACCUAUCAUAAUGUAAAUAACCGGCCAAGAGCAUGUCGGGCCACGCUCAGUGUAGGGUUCCGUAGUUACUCUUCCGUCACAAUAAGCUUAACUGGAGCUUAAAGUGUAGUAAAUGGUACCUUUCACCCGAGUUAAACAAAUAGGCAAAUUUGCAUAAUCAGUACCUAAUUAAAGAAGUCUUUUUACUAUGAAGGGAAAACUUUUUGCGAUAACUCAAAAACAGCUAAACUGAUCAUGUCCGCUAUAGUUUUCAUUUAAUGUCUUUCUUAAGCUCUACUUCCACGAUUUUUUUCAUAUUUUUUGGACCUAUGGUUCAAAAGUUAGAGGGGGGGGACACAUUUUUUUUUCUUUCGGAGCGAUUAUCUCCGAAUAUAUUCACUUUAUCAAAAAAUGUUUCUUGAAAACCCCUAUUAGUUUUGAAAGACCUUUCCAACGAUACCCCACACUUUAGGGUUGAAGCGAAAAAAAAAAUUCACCCCCACUUUACGUGUAGGGG
Long non-coding RNA from Cydia pomonella (codling moth), 6189 nucleotides. RefSeq lists it as uncharacterized. Lineage: Eukaryota; Metazoa; Arthropoda; Insecta; Lepidoptera; Tortricidae. The transcript has 3 exons. The record is from RefSeq and is a predicted model, not a curated record.